RNAcentral lists this transfer RNA (86 nucleotides) under Luteimonas sp. Its description in RNAcentral is "tRNA-Leu". It matches the Rfam family "tRNA". From Rfam's summary of the family: Transfer RNA (tRNA) molecules are approximately 80 nucleotides in length. Lineage: Bacteria; Pseudomonadati; Pseudomonadota; Gammaproteobacteria; Lysobacterales; Lysobacteraceae. RNAcentral also lists the same sequence under 1 other name. The record is from RNAcentral.
GCCGAAGUGGCGGAAUGGUAGACGCAGUGGAUUCAAAAUCCACCGCCCUUAAAAGCGUGGGGGUUCGAGUCCCCCCUUCGGUACCA